RNAcentral lists this ribosomal RNA (425 nucleotides) under uncultured bacterium. RNAcentral describes it as "bacterial SSU rRNA". It matches the Rfam family "Bacterial small subunit ribosomal RNA", at positions 356 to 796 of the family's 1533-position model. The record is from RNAcentral.
GGGGAAUUUUCCGCAAUGGGCGAAAGCCUGACGGAGCAAUGCCGCGUGGAGGAUGAAAGCCUAUGGGUUGUAAACUCCUUUUCUCAGAGAAGAAAUUUUGACGGUAUCUGAGGAAUAAGCAUCGGCUAACUCCGUGCCAGCAGCCGCGGUAAUACGGGGGAUGCAAGUGUUAUCCGGAAUAAUUGGGCGUAAAGCGUCUGUAGGUGGUUUACCAAGUCUGUUGUUAAAAAUCAGGGCUCAACCCUGAUCCGGCAACAGAAACUAGUAGACUUGAGUACGGUAGGGGCAGAGGGAAUUCUCGGUGUAGUGGUGAAAUACGUAGAUAUCGAGAAGAACACCAAUAGCGAAAGCACUCUGCUGGGCCGAAACUGACAUUGAGAGACGAAAGCUAGGGGAGCAAAAGAGAUUAGAUACCCCUGUAGUCA